This 76-nucleotide transfer RNA is filed under the name Acidithiobacillus thiooxidans. RNAcentral's name for it is "tRNA-Lys". It matches the Rfam family "tRNA". Rfam says of the family: Transfer RNA (tRNA) molecules are approximately 80 nucleotides in length. The record is from RNAcentral. Lineage: Bacteria; Pseudomonadati; Pseudomonadota; Acidithiobacillia; Acidithiobacillales; Acidithiobacillaceae.
GCGCCUUUAAUUCAACUGGUAGAAUACCGGACUUUUAAUCCGGGGGUUGUGGGUUCAACUCCCACAGGGCGCACCA